UACGGAGGGUGCGAGCGUUGUCCGGAAUCAUUGGGCGUAAAGGGCGCGUAAGUGGUCCGGUCAGUUCGUGGUGAAAGCGCGGGGCUCAACCCUGCGUCGGCCACGAAUACUGCCGCGGCUGGAGCACUGUAGAGGCAGGCGGAAUUCCGGGUGUAGCGGUGGAAUGCGUAGAGAUCCGGAAGAACACCGGUGGCGAAGGCGGCCCGCUGGGCAACUGCUGACACUGAGGCGCGACAGCGUGGGGAGCAAACAGG
This 254-nucleotide ribosomal RNA is filed under the name uncultured bacterium. Its description in RNAcentral is "partial 16S ribosomal RNA". It matches the Rfam family "Bacterial small subunit ribosomal RNA", at positions 524 to 776 of the family's 1533-position model. The record is from RNAcentral.